This 358-nucleotide ribosomal RNA is filed under the name uncultured archaeon. Its description in RNAcentral is "bacterial SSU rRNA". It matches the Rfam family "Archaeal small subunit ribosomal RNA", at positions 345 to 704 of the family's 1478-position model. The record is from RNAcentral.
AACCUCCGCAAUGGGCGAAAGCCCGACGGGGUUAGUCCGAGUGGCCCCUGCUGAAGGGGCCUUUUGCCAGCUGUAAAAAGGCUGGCGAAUAAGGGGUGGGCAAGUUUGGUGUCAGCCGCCGCGGUAAUACCAGCACCUCGAGUGGUGGCCGAUAUUAUUGAGUCUAAAGGGUCCGUAGCCGGCUUGGUAAGUCUUUUAGGGAAAUCCAGCGGCUUAAUCGUUGGGCGUCCAUUAGAUACUGCCUUGCUUGGGACUGGGAGAGGUAGGAGGUACUCAAGGGGUAGGAGUGAAAUCCUGUAAUCCUUUGGGGACCACCGGUGCGAAGGCGUCCUACCAGAACAGGUCCGACGGUGAGGGA